RNAcentral lists this ribosomal RNA (377 nucleotides) under uncultured eukaryote. RNAcentral describes it as "partial 18S ribosomal RNA". It matches the Rfam family "Eukaryotic small subunit ribosomal RNA", at positions 592 to 976 of the family's 1831-position model. The record is from RNAcentral.
CAAUAGCGUAUAUUUAAGUUGCUGCAGUUAAAAAGCUCGUAGUUGGAUUUCGGGUGGGAAUGGCCGGUCCGCCGUUUCGGUGUGCACUUGCUACGCCCACCUUGCUGCCGGGGACGUGCUCUUGAGUUCACGCUCGGGACACGGAGUCGGCGAGGUUACUUUGAGUAAAUUAGAGUGUUCAAAGCAGGCCUACGCUCUGAAUACAUUAGCAUGGAAUAACCCGAUAGGACUCUGGCCUAUCUUGUUGGUCUGUAGGACCGGAGUAAUGAUUAAGAGGGACAGUCGGGGGCAUUCGUAUUUCAUUGUCAGAGGUGAAAUUCUUGGAUUUAUGAAAGACGAACUACUGCGAAAGCAUUUGCCAAGGAUGUUUUCAUUAA